RNAcentral lists this long non-coding RNA (264 nucleotides) under Nicotiana benthamiana. Its description in RNAcentral is "long non-coding RNA (NBEN_LNC027483)". The record is from RNAcentral. Lineage: Eukaryota; Viridiplantae; Streptophyta; Magnoliopsida; Solanales; Solanaceae.
AUCGGGCGGAUUGGGCGGCUUUUUACUCUUAACGGUUUGGCUUAACGGUUAUCGGCUUUUAAAUUAUUAAUCUGUUAGCCACCCGAUAUCGGGCGGAUUGGUAUCGGGUUAGCUCUUAUAGGGCGGUUAUAGGGCGACUUAUCGGCCUAACAUACAUGUUUACUAGAAUUUGAUAGAUCUCUUUAGGCAAUUAUAGAUCAAACACCUAUUCCAGUAUACCUUCAUAUGAGCUAGCUUGUUAAUGUCUUUUCAGGGCAUUCAUUU